This 4057-nucleotide long non-coding RNA is filed under the name Lynx pardinus (Iberian lynx). Lineage: Eukaryota; Metazoa; Chordata; Mammalia; Carnivora; Felidae. The record is from RNAcentral.
CAGACGGGCUCCCCUCCAAUGGCCAACGACCGCCUGGCCUCAAAGCACCCCACAAGCUGUGCGUCCCCGUACCACCUUUGAACCCAGGAAUCCAGAGGCCAGAAACCACUGGUUUCAACAAGAAAGGGACCUACAAGGGAGUGGCCUGGAGACUGAGCUUCGAAGCAAAACGGGGGAACCCGCUCCCCUCACCCAGCCCUUGGGACUCGUCCUCUCAACACCCGAAGUGCUCAGAGCUGAGACAGAUCCAGAUGUGGAAUAUCUGUCCUCUUUCUGGAGGCACGGCAUCCCAAGGUCCCUGCCGAGCCAGGCAUAGAGGGCAGCUGGGACGUCCCAAAGGCUGUGGGGUAAUUGAUGUGCUUGGUUUCUGGGGUGCCCGACAGCCCGCACUUUCCUGGGGUGUACCCUCUCCCCUGCCUUUCCUGGGACUGCUGGGGGCCUGCCGGUUGCAGUUGCCCCAGUGCCGGGAACAGUUGCCUCACGGGCUCCAGGAAUCCUCUGCAUUGCUUUUGCCGUUGUCACAGGCCUGGCCUUUCCCAGACAGGAGGUGAAAAGUGUGUCCCUGGCUGCCCUUGCUUGAUAGGUGUGCCUUGGAGAUAGUUGACUUUUACAGCACAUGGAUCAAUCUCAUUUUGUAAAACGUGAUAUCUUUCCAAUGGCAUUUUUACAACUGUAUUUGUUGGGCUUGUAAAACCCUUGAAUUAGCUUUAAAAUCCUCAAUUCUGUGGAGGCUGAAGAAAGACUAUUUAUACAAUUUGGUUGAAUUUCCGGAGGAUGUUUCUAAGAUCUGUAAAACUCUGAUGAAUGCAGGCUGAUGGGGUUCAGGACUUGGGGGUGGCAAUGCCCUCCUGGAAUCUGACAACGACUUCCUUAAUCUCCUCCUUGCUUUUUGAUUUUUUUUUGCCCCUGCCCUCACUUCCCUCAAAGGGAGAAAACUGGGAAAGGACUGGGCUAAGGGUGGCCUCCACAGAACCUAGCAAGCACCCUAGAAAGUGGCUGUUGCCCACGCGAUGGGGUCUACACCCAGAAGCCUUCUCCCUGUGCCCCAAUCAAUCCACGCUGGGAAAGUUUCUCCUUUGCAUAUGUAAAAAGGGCCUGGCAGGAGAAGAGAGAAUGUAACAUUUCCCUGGAAUUUCUUCAGGGAAUGGACCCGAUAGGUGAAAAUGAAAACUCAAGUAAAAAAUUUUAAAGGGAACUAUUUUUUUUAAGGCUAUGUCCAAAGAAAAUCAUGUUUGAGUUAUUGUUUCCUACACAAGACCAUCAGAUGACAGUGACGUCAAGCAAAUUAUUAUUAUAUAAGACAAAAAUAACUGUUGGGAGAUGUUGAGAAAUGUUUACAUUUAUAAUUUCUGCUUCAUACCUCCAGGUCUCACACAGCAUUGGGAGUGAUGGCAGUUGACUACAUAUACUACUAUUGUUAUUAUUUGUUAUGGUUUGACUUAGAUUCUUGAUCUAAUAAUUACCCCCCAGACAAUGACAGAAUUUGAUUUCUCAGCUAAGAGCCAAAAACCAUUGUGUUUCUAGCUUCUAUAGGCAGUGAGACAGAAAAAAAUAAAUUAAAUUGAAAUCUCCAGGUGUUAGCCAAGGCUGGUACAUAUCAGGUUGGCAACGGCCCAAUUUAUUUCUCCAACCAGCUUUAGGUGCAUAUAUAGAGAGAGAGAGAGAGAGAGAGAGAGAGAGAGAGAGAGGCACACACACACACUCAGGCAAGAAUAGGAGCCCCAGACGCUGGAGGGAGCCUCUCCUGGGAUAGUGAGAAUGGCUAUCAGGACUCUCUCUUCUAGGUCAAAGCCACAGAGAAGGUCUACUUACCUUUCAGCUGCUCUUCAAGGGGGACUGGAUGGUGAGCAGGGCCCCACAGUCCGCCCUUUCUCUGGGCUGCCCACUCGACCUCCGCCAGCUUGGAGGGCGGCCCGCCGGUGUGUGGGGUGGACCUUGAGGGCCACCCGGGCCGCCUGGAUCUGUAGCCCAGGCCAGAGCCCAUAGCAUACAGGUGCGGCCUCUGCCUGUCAGAGGCCCUCGCCUGACGCCAAAGCCCGCCUUCCUUGCCAUAGCCAAUCCUCCUCAGGGCCAGCCAGGCCUGCAGGCCUCGGGGCCAGGAAUGGUCUCUCCGAUUUGCAAAUCCCAAAGCGGGCGCCUUCCCCGAACCAGCGUGCGCCCCGGGGACGCCUUGGGACGCGCAGUUUGGACAGAAGCAGCCAUAACGUGCCAGGCCGCCUGUGCAACCAGUCUCCAUGGCGCUGGGGGUAGGGGGAGGACCCGAGUCUAGUCGGGCUUCCAGCUCCUAUCAGGGGUGGCCAAGGCGGGGGAGGUUCCCGACAGGCCCUGGGAGGCCGCCCCUCAGGUCCUCCCUUGCCCCCCUCUGCUCGGCCUGCUUGGGAAUCUCUGAGGGGCCCGCGCAGCAGUCGCGCCAGGCUGCACGACGCGGGGCUGCGGCUGGCGUCGGUCCCGGCGACGGCCACAGCGUGGCAGCAGCGAGCGCCCAGCGCGGUCGCAAUAAAUAAUCUGCCCGCGGCAGCCGCAGUCAGGCAGCCCGCGGCCCUGCGACGCAAACGCGCAGCUUUAUCCUCCCUGAGUGCACCCACAGCGCCGGUGGACGUCCCAAACAUCUACAGCCCCUUCUUAAUUUUCUAAUGCACACCAAGGUAUUAUCUUAAGGUGGAAAAACAACAACAACGACCAGAACCACAGAACAAACAAAAAGAACUCGAGCCCAGAACCUCAGGAUCCUUUCUGGUCGCAGUCCCAGGAAGCUCCCGGGGCAAAUCUGGCCGACGCGCACCCAGGCCAAGCAACGGUCUGUGCCACCGCUCCACAUAAAGUCAGUGCCCACGGUACCCUCCGUGCCUCCCGGGCGGCUUCACAGUCCCCUCCCGGCUCGCGGAAAGUGGGGCGCGCGGUCGGCGGCCCGCUGCGCCGAUGUGGGGGUGGUGGGGUCCCCCUAUCGCCCAGACGCGGUUUGCGUCCUUCUUUCAACCUUAGCUGCGGGCCCCUGCCACUCUCAAUAACACCAGCACAUUCUCUGCACCGAAACUUCCCGCCAAGCAACACCCAGCCAAUUAACCCCAUCCUCUCCUCCAACACAGAGUUCCACCCACGCACCUAGUCCCUCUCCCCGCGCUUCAGACACAUCUGUCAUCGGAAAACCGCGUGAAAGGAAGCAGGCAAUCAGCAGAAGAACCUGGCCGAAUUAGUAAGUUUUUGUUUGUUUGUUUUUUUUCCCCCUCAUUCUACCUUUCUCUCCAGAAACCGAGUCCCUCAGAAUAGAAGGUGCUGUGUUGACACUAAUAAAAAAGCAGGUCGAUUAAUUCACUUUGCCCUCACCUCUUCCCACCUCCCCAGGUCGGGAACUGUCUUCAAUUGUUGGGAAAUUCAACCGAGCCAACUGGGUCAUGAAUGAAAAAAAAAAAAAAAUCCAAACCCGGGAGAUUGGCAAGGAACGCGGAGGGCAGGGCCACUUCUUUUUGGGCUCGGCAAGGUCGCUGGGGAAGAGGGGAGAGACCUCAGUGCUCCUGCCCCAUGCCAGGGCGCUGUGCCACUGAAAGGAGGCUGGCAUUCACUGCCAUGGUGAGCAAGAGAGAGGAGAGAGGGAGAGUGUGUGUGUGUGUGCGCGCGCGCGCGCACGUGUGAAGGGGGGCAAGUGUGAACGGUGAGUGUGGGCGAGGGUGAGUAUGCCCCUCUUCAAAGCCGCCCCAGUGCCCUCUCCCACCGCCGCCGGCGCCGGCUGCCAUCUCACCACCUUUGCUCCUGUCUCCCCACAUGUCUCACCUUCAGAUGGCGGCUCCCAGAAGCUCCUGCCCCUCUGACAGCUGUCGCUUGGGCAGCCGGGGAGACGAAUUGUCCUCCUUCCUGGUGCCAGAGGACGCAGGAAAUUAGCCAGGUUGCGAGUUGCGAAGCGGCCGCCGCGGCGCCGGGAACUGGACGCGCCCCACCUCCAGCGGGAGCGGCCGGGCCGGGCCGGGCCGGGGCCUCGUCUCGCUCGCCAUCGCCGGACAAAGCGCAGCCAAGCCCGGCUGGAAGGCAGAGCUCCGAAGCAGGCAGGACGGAGCGGAGCAAA